AUUGAACGCUGGCGGCAGGCCUAACACAUGCAAGUCGAGCGGAUGAGUGGAGCUUGCUCCAUGAUUCAGCGGCGGACGGGUGAGUAAUGCCUAGGAAUCUGCCCUGGUAGUGGGGGACAACGUUUCGAAAGGAACGCUAAUACCGCAUACGUCCUACGGGAGAAAGCAGGGGACCUUCGGGCCGUUGCGCUAUCAGAUGAGCCUAGGUCGGAUUAGCUAGUAGGUGAGGUAAUGGCUCACCUAGGCGACGAUCCGUAACUGGUCUGAGAGGAUGAUCAGUCACACUGGAACUGAGACACGGUCCAGACUCCUACGGGAGGCAGCAGUGGGGAAUAUUGGACAAUGGGCGAAAGCCUGAUCCAGCCAUGCCGCGUGUGUGAAGAAGGUCUUCGGAUUGUAAAGCACCUUAAGUUGGGAGGAAGGGCAGUAAGUUAAUACCUUGCUGUUUUUGACGUUACCAACAGAAUAAGCACCGGCUAACUUCGUGCCAG
Molecule: ribosomal RNA, 491 nt
Filed under: uncultured bacterium
Lineage: Bacteria
Description: bacterial SSU rRNA
Rfam family: Bacterial small subunit ribosomal RNA
Source: RNAcentral